RNAcentral lists this ribosomal RNA (253 nucleotides) under uncultured bacterium. RNAcentral's name for it is "partial 16S ribosomal RNA". It matches the Rfam family "Bacterial small subunit ribosomal RNA", at positions 524 to 776 of the family's 1533-position model. The record is from RNAcentral.
UACAGAGGGUGCGAGCGUUAAUCGGAAUUACUGGGCGUAAAGGGCGCGUAGGCGGCCUGUUAAGUCGAACGUGAAGUCCCCGGGCUCAACCCGGGAACUGCGUCCGAUACUGGCAGGCUUGAAUUCGGGAGAGGGAUGUGGAAUUCCAGGUGUAGCGGUGAAAUGCGUAGAUAUCUGGAGGAACACCGGUGGCGAAGGCGGCAUCCUGGACCGAUAUUGACGCUGAUGCGCGAAAGCCAGGGGAGCAAACGGG